AUACAGAGGUCCCAAGCGUUGUUCGGAUUCAUUGGGCGUAAAGGGUGCGUAGGCGGUAGGGUAAGUUGGAUGUGAAAUCCCGGGGCUCAACCCCGGAACUGCAUUCAAUACUGCUCUGCUAGAGUACUGGAGAGGAGAUUGGAAUUCACGGUGUAGCAGUGAAAUGCGUAGAUAUCGUGAGGAAGACCAGUGGCGAAGGCGAAUCUCUGGACAGUAACUGACGCUGAGGCACGAAGGCCAGGGGAGC
RNAcentral lists this ribosomal RNA (247 nucleotides) under uncultured bacterium. RNAcentral describes it as "partial 16S ribosomal RNA". It matches the Rfam family "Bacterial small subunit ribosomal RNA", at positions 523 to 769 of the family's 1533-position model. The record is from RNAcentral.